Pygocentrus nattereri (red-bellied piranha) is the source of this 2537-nucleotide long non-coding RNA. RefSeq lists it as uncharacterized. The record is from RefSeq and is a predicted model, not a curated record. The transcript has 3 exons. Lineage: Eukaryota; Metazoa; Chordata; Actinopteri; Characiformes; Serrasalmidae.
ACGUUUAGUGGAGCUGAUAAGCUGCUUCAAAAAUACUUCAAAAGUGAGAAACAAAACGAUAAAACGUCAUUUCCGUACAGAAUGAACAUAUUUUCUCAUUGAACAGGGGGUUGAGGUUUGGUCCAGUUUAAGCGGGCCACGCUUUGGACAGUUCUGCUAUAGAGGUUCUGGUUCAGAGUUUUACAGUGUGUGCAAAAUACUAACAUCUACUCUUUUUUUACCUGACCAAAAUUGUGAUUUAGGAGCACCUGUGUGAGAACAGAUUUGGACCAGAAUAGCCCAACACUUCAUUGUGUGUGAAGACGCAGGUUUUUAAUCAGUGCUGCGUGCCAACGGCCUCGAAUGCUACUGUAUUUGCAGUGAAUGUAAAUCUCAGUGGUUAGAAUCUUUGCUGGCUUACUGACCAAACUAGUAAUAACUGCUAGUACAAACGCAUACUUUGUGCUGAUUAGAAGAAACUCAGGAACAUGAAGACAGAAAUGAAAGUGUAUGAGCCAUAUUUAAGUGUUUUGAUGGUUUGUUUAUAUGUUCUCUUUUGUUGGCUUUAUGAGUGUGCGCCCCCUAUAGGUGAUUGGUGUCACCCUAUAAAUCUGUGACUGAGAUGCCUGACGGAAAGGAAGGCAGAGCAGCAAUACCGUCAUUGACCUCAGUUGGCGCCUCAGUUGGCACCUCCACACCCAGCCGCCAUUGGGGCCUGUCAGCCAAACAACCUUGCUCUAUCCUGGGCUCCUAAUAGUUAUUAAUGUGAUGUUUAUGGACUUCAGGCUAUUACUGCAAAAUUUCAUUUUGUAUUUCUAUUUAUUAAUAAUAAAUCUCCGGCAAUAUUUUGCAUCAGAUACCCUCUUUGGAAUUCUUGGAAACCAGCUGUGAGUCUGACGCUGAAUCUGUCUUCUGUGUGGUAAAGACAACUGGAAACUGGAAACAAGGGGUUACAGGAUAAACUCAAACUGUUUUUACCAUCACAUUACGUCAAUGACGCGCUGUGAAUUUUUUUGGAAGAAACUUUGGAAUUACACCUGUUUGGAGACAACAGGAAAUGUCGGUCCUAGGCAUGGAGAGUUGAACAAAGGAAUGCUUCAAGGGAGGAAUGGAGGCAAGGACAGCCCUGCUAUUGCUGACCCACUGAGUAAGCUGAAACCCACCUUUCCUGCACAAUGAAGUGAGAUCCUUUACCAGCUGAAUGGCAUCAGAUUCUUUGGUUACAGAUUUAGCGCAGUCAUCCACAUAAAAGUUAUGUCUGACGGUCUCAGCCACCUGAGGGGGAAAACUGAUCUCAUUGUCGGCAGCGUUUUUUUGCAGAGCAAAACUUGCACCACUUGGGGAAGACACAGCACUGAAUAUGUGUACAAGCAUACGGUGUUCCCUAGGGGUCCGGCUAGUAUCACGUUGUGGCCACCAGAGGAAUCGCAAGUAAUUCACAUCAGACUUUGUAACCCUUACUUGGUGGAACAUCGACUUGACGUCAGCCAUGAUUCCAAUCGGCUCUUUGCGGAAUCUUAAGAUGACUCCGAUGAGGGAGUUGGUCAGGCUUUGCAAAUGCUGUUCUGCAACCUGCUGAUUAUUUGGCAUGAACACAUCAGGUUUCCUAAAGGGCAAGUUCAGACUGUAAUGUCCAUCUUUCAAGAGUGCUCCAUUAGCUAUCUCUAAAAACUGUUUGUCCUCAAUAGACAUUUCAGUCCUUUCCUGCGAAGCAACUUCAUUGAAGUCCUGGUUGUACUGUGACAUCAGCAGCUUUUCCAGACCUGCAACUGAAAUCCCAUUCACAGUCACACUGUCGCCACUGCCAGCAGCAGAGAAAGAAAGUUAUCAACAUUCAGUGCUGAAACUUCCAAUCCUGAAAUAACAUGAGUGGAAACAGACAUUUGCUGAUUCAUAGUUCGAAGAAGAAUGCGUGUCCUUUUACCUUUCAUAUGGAGGCGUGACAUCAGCUCCUCAGAGCAGAAGGUGGCAGAGGACCCAGGAUCCAGGAGAGCAUAGACCUGCAAGACAUGGCUGCCCUUUGCGGCCUUGAUGUUAACAGGAACAAUGGGAAGAACACUCUCUUGGUCUCCAGCGCCUAUAUGACCACAUAACUCUGUUGAUGUGUUACCUAUGACAUCAAAGGGCUUUUCUGCUUCUUGAGCUGCCUUUCUCUCAAUGUGCAAUGUGCCUUGAUGCGCUUGUUUGCAAAUGCUACAUGUGAGAUGCUGUUUGCAAUCCUUACUGAUAUGGCUUGUGGCCUGAAGACAUCCAAAGCAUAUACCAUUGGCCUUUAAAAGGCUAAGCUUAUCUUUAUGAGCUUUCUUUGCAAAUUCUUUGCAUUUUGUCCAAGGUGUGCUUUGAGCUACAGAAGGUACAAGAGGGUUGGAGCUUUAACUCUUUUGAAGGGAGAGCUACACCUAUGACAUAGCUACUGAUGGUUGCCUUUGAAGGAUGUGACUUCACAGUAGACUUAGGCUUCCCCCUAAUAGCUGUUUGAUCUUGAAGGUCACCAAAGACUGGACCAGCUGAUAUACGAGCUUGUUUUUCAAUAAAAGGGACAUGAUCCACAAUCCCUA